UUGAAACAGCGAUUCCCUUUGGAUCACCGAAGUUAAGCAACGUUGUGCCUCGUUAGAACUUAGAUGGGUGACCGCUUGGAAAUAACGGGUACAGUA
Acanthosepion pharaonis is the source of this 96-nucleotide non-coding RNA. The record is from the annotation of a GenBank genome assembly. NCBI's taxonomy places the organism in Eukaryota, Metazoa, Mollusca, Cephalopoda, Sepiida, Sepiidae.